Molecule: non-coding RNA, 1067 nt
Organism: Chrysemys picta bellii (western painted turtle)
Lineage: Eukaryota; Metazoa; Chordata; Testudines; Emydidae
Source: RefSeq, a predicted model, not a curated record
GGCGAGACUUUGUGUUUGUAUGGAUCGGUCCCUCUUGGCGAGGCGAGUCUGUCAAACUUGUCAGGCAGGGCGGGAGGCGGAGGAGGCUGCUCUCCUCAGGGAGCGGUGAGGCGGCGGAACGUCGCUCCGCUCUGUGGCAGGCAGCGCCGUGCGCCCGGGUGUCAGGCACCUGCCCCGCUCACGCGCUCCCUCGUGCCAGCUGCAGGGAUCGUGCCCAGCGUAUCAGAUGCCUCAGGUUGGAUCUAUGCCAAGUACCUCUCGGGGGUGUGCUUAGCAGUGCACGUCGCUCAGUGCUGAGCGAGGCAGAGCUAAUGGCUGCGGUAUGUUGUGAGGUGUCACAAACAGCAGUGCACGCGGAGAUUUCUGUCAGUGAACUCGCUGGGACUGAAAUAAACACGUCAUUUAUCAUCCUAAAAGGAAUCCAAGGCCUCCAGCAUCAACUGCAGGGGCUGCUCAUACACUGAGUGGCCACCAAGAGUGUACAUGCUUAGGCUGGAAAGUCAAAGAAAUCCAAAGGAGGUCAAUGAGCAAUAGUUUUCUGCAUGAUGCACAAAAAUGCUACACUGGGGAAGAUAAGUCACAUUUACAGGCUUCUUUGCUGAAAUGGGAGAGUCAUUGCUAUACAAGAAAAACAAGCUGUAGAAAUAUCCUUUAGCAGAAAUGGUGGCUCCAGUCUAUUUGCAACAACAGUUUCUCCAAGACAUCUCUAUUCAGCUGCUAUCAAAAGGAGAUGGUAUGUGUUUUGCAUAGUGCUCUUAAGUACAAAAGUUUCAAGAUCAGACAUCAUAAAACAAAUAUCAACUGACAAGCUGUAUUUGACUAUGUUAAUAACACACAUCAAAGAUGCUGUUUCUAAAGAUAACUAGAGCAUUUCACAGAUGCCAUGUGAAAAAGAACUCACGGGGGAACAUUUAACUGAGUGACGUGUUAAAAGAAAACAUAUAUUUUAAAAUCCAUCACCUACUUCAUGUUAAUGGCGUGAGUUUCCAUUAAUUAGCAUUCUACGUGUUUCAUGCUGAACUAACUUGAGGCUACAAAGUGUAACAGAUUUUAUAAAAGAAUUCAAA